CCUGGUGUCACCUGAGACUGCCCUGUAGUGAUAAGGGUUAGACUUUGGAGACAGUCCCUUAGAAGGGAAUGUCUUAUCAGGUGAGGAAUUUGAACACGAUCCCUGGGGGAGCAAGGGGAAAUCAAGAUGGAGGCAGCCACAUGGUCUAUGCUGAAGGAACCUGCUGUAGUAUCAUUAAAGGGCAACACCCAUGAAACAUGGAUUGUUCCCAGCAGAAAUGCUGUUUAACAAGAAACUCAAAAUGAGGCUGCCAAAUCUUGUGGAUGAUGCUCAUCAGAAUGAAAAUCCAGACAUGAAAACAUUUAAAAAAUGUGACAAACUCGAACAAAAAUUAUACUAUGAUAAAGGUUCCAGGAAGAUACCACAAAUGCACAACAAAGAUAUGGUGUUUAUUUCAGAUGGAGAAGCGUGGAAACAAAAAGUACUAGUUUCCCAUCAAGUAGCUCCCAGAUCCUAUAAAGUAGUCACACUGGAAGGACAGGUGUUAAGAAGGAACAGACAACACUUGCAGCUCGUAAAGGGGAGAAAAGAAGAAGAAUCACGAGAUUUGCCAAAGGAAACAGAACUAACAUCAAAGCAACAAGAAAUGACAGAGGAGAUUGAAAAUGACACAGAAAUAGAGACAUCUGAACAAGGAAACCAAACAAGAACUGAACAAAUAAGGAUUGACAAUUUAGAGAAACUGAGAUCACUUAGACAUAAAAAGCCAACACAAAAACUAAUAGACACCCUUUGAAUGUGUUUUAACUAUGGGUUGAACUAAACUUCCAAUGUUAGUAGAACAUGGGGACAUGUUACAUGUAAAGAGGGGAGAUGUGUGGAUAUCUUUUAAGAGUGUUAUGUAUAAGUGUUUACAAUUGCCCAGGAAUUGCAGGAUGGAACAGCAGAACAGUAGGCAGGCAUUGCUCUCUGAAUAAACAAGCUUUAUCGUUUUAUAA
Alligator mississippiensis (American alligator) is the source of this 938-nucleotide long non-coding RNA. RefSeq lists it as uncharacterized. The record is from RefSeq and is a predicted model, not a curated record. The transcript is spliced from 2 exons. NCBI's taxonomy places the organism in Eukaryota, Metazoa, Chordata, Crocodylia, Alligatoridae.